CUGAGGGAUGGGGUGCUUGCCUAAUGUGUGUAUGGCCCUGGGGUCAAGCCCUGGUACUGAAGUACUGAAAGAAAAAUUUAUUAUUAAAAAAAAAUGCCAAAGAAAAUGAAAACGAAAACCGUGAUGUACUCAUCCGCCAGAAUGGCUGAGAUGAUGAUGAUCAGCCCCGAGUUCUGAGAUGUGGAGUAACUGAAACUCCCACACAUUGCUGUAAACGUUAACAUGGUUUAGGUAUUUUCAAAAGCCUGACAGCUUCUAGAGUUACACACACACACACCUACCUGUUACGGUGAAUUUUAGGUGUCAGGCUGACUGGGCUACAAGAAUCUCACAGAGAGCUAGAAGGAGUAAGUUUGAGGAGUGUCUUGAAUGAGUGUUUCUAGGAGAGAGCAACAAGUAAGGUUGCCUUGGCACUGCCGGCGGGCCUCAGUGUGGUGAGAAUGGACCCCGCUGGGUAGGACUAUUUGGGAAGGAUUGGGAGGUGUGACUUUGUGGGAGGAGGGGUGUCACUGGGGGUCAGGCUUCCACCUCCUACGGUGAUCGUGAUCAAGAUGAGAGUUCUCAGCUGCUCCUGCUGCCACGCCUUUCCCUCCCUUCCCCCCACCAUCAUGGGCUCUAACCUCUAGAACUGUAAGCCAAUUAGGCAUUUCCUUUUAUAAGUCACCUUGCUUAUGGUGCCUUAUCACAGUGAUAGAAAAGUAACUAAGAGACUCGACCAACAGGCUGAUGGUCUGAAUAGAACACGAGGGAAGAGGAACCUUGUCUCCAGUCUGAGUUGAGAUAGCCACCUUUUCCUGUCCUGGACAGCGGAGUUUCUGGUUCUUGGGCUCCCAGUUGUGAACUGAAUUACAUCACCACGUCCUGGCUCUCCAGCUUGGGGAUGGCUGAUCAGAGGACUUCUAGACUACAGGGUAUGGGCCAGGGUCUUAUGCCUGUGCCUAUCUCUGGCUUUUGCUAACUAACUUUCCAUCCAUCCAUCCACUUACCCAGCUGCCUCGGCACCUGCUGUCUUCUCCUGUCUGGUCCUGUGGGAAAUGCUGACUUAUUUGCUACUCUGUGACCCAGCAAUGUCACCAGCACCCCAAAGAAGUGAAGGCAUCUAUCAUACCGAUAGCUCCAACCAACUGCUCACCAGUUUUUCAAGCAAUCCAGACUGGAAUGGUGUUACGUGAUUUGUACAUUCCCCCAGCGACUGCUUAUCUGUCUUUCCCUUUGUUUCCCUUUGUUUGCUACUGUCUUUUCAAGAAAAGCUCCCAGCAGGCUAAAGCCUAAUUUAUCACACUUUCCCGUUAUGAAUCAUUUUUAGAUGUCAUGUUUAAGAAAUCUUCAGCUGUGACAAGUUUUCCCAUGUUUUCUGCUAGAGCUGUUUUAGUUAUUAAAAGAAUGACCACAGGACAUUAGAUUCUAAGGAUCCUACUGUGUUCCCCAGGUGAGACAGUCCUUAACAUCUCCUUUUGCUUCCUCGGGGGUCCUGGUCUGUUACCAUAUUUGCCACCCUGCCCAGACGACAUAGCUGGUCAGUAUGAGAACAGUAUUCGAAGCAGGACACUCAGAACUGCAGGAAUCAUAAGGUCAAAGAUUUCACAGUUAGCAUCUAAAGGCAAUGUUGCUGAGGAUUAAAAAAGUAUUCUUGGCCCCUUAAUCAUGCAAAAAAUAUUUCAGAUCCGGCCACAUAUCCCAACAGGAAAUGGGGUCCACUUCCCACUGGAAUCUGGCAUGGCUCAUUACUUACUGUGGACAUAGGAGGAUACAGCUGAAGUGACAGUGCAUAUGUCUUAAACCAAAGUCACCACCGUGAGAGAAAGCCUCGGCUGGCCUCUGGGAGAAGACACUCUGGCAGACAGCUGAAAGACUAGACCACAGCUGAUCAGAGCCUGGCAGCCUCCUUUCACUGACUACAGAAGCUCAAGAGGAUCCAGCAAGGCUGAGCCCAGCCUUUGCCGUUGGCCUAUGGAAUUCUGGGAUCAAAACUAGUGAUGGUCUGAAGGCUUUAGGAUCAUCUGUUUUCUAUCAGUUACUAACCAGUAACUAGUCUGCCUUUCACAGCCGAAGGACUUUAUAAGCUAAGCACUCUGGUUUGGAAGACAGAACCGACUUUAGGUCCCGUGACUUUGGACAAUGUGUUUGAUCAACUCGAAAUUCUAAGUGCAUCAUGCAUAUGCCUGGUGCCUGCAGGGGUCAGAAGAGGGUGCUAUGUUCCUCAAGACUGGGGUUAGGACAACUGUACCCCACUUUGUGGGUGCCGGGUACUGAACCCCAGUCCUCUGCAAGAGCAACGAGCGCUCUUAGCUGCUCAGCCAUCUCCCCAGCCCUUACUUCAUGUGUGUGUGUUUUUGCCUGCAUGUAUGUCUAUGCACCAUGUGCAUGCAAUGCCCAAAAGGCCUCUGGACUUCCUGAAACUGGAGUUACAGAAGUGAGCCUCCAUGUGGGGGCUGGGAAUCAAAUCCAGGCCCUCGGGAAGGGCAGUCAGUGCUCUUAGCCACCGAGCCGCCUCUCCAGUCCCUUGGCAGUGUUUUUGAGCUAUUACUCAAGGUUCCUCCUGUGGACUGCUGCUGCGGUUUGGAUACGGUGUGAUCCUCUGAAACUCCUGUUGAAAGUUGAUUGCUUCUGGAGGCGGUCACUAGGCUAGGGAGUCUAGAGAGCACAAUGCCUUUCUCCCCGAGCUGGACUAUUUCCCGUGAGAAGGGCUGUUUUAAGCAAGGCUGCCCUUGUGUUUUCCACUUUCUGUAGUGCCUGGUUCCCUGUCUACUUUUCUACCGUGCUCGAGUGAGUCUUUCGCCAGAUGCAGCCACCUAAUUUUGGACUUCCUGCUGCUGGAGCCUGUGAAGUAAAUAACUUCAUUUCUUGAUAAAUCAUCCAACCUCUGGUAUCUAUUAUAACAACAUAAAAAGGACUCUGACAAAUAAGCACGACAAUUGUGUUCAUGGAUUUUUGUUGAGAUAAAUGAAAUCCUGAACGUGAAGUAAUUAAUACUGUGCCUGGCACACAGUAACUUUCUGUAUGUGGAGUGUGUUACUGUCAUCAUAAACAAUACUCAUGAUUGUCAAGGUUGUCACCAUAUACCCAUUUUGCAGGCAUGGAGACUGAGACUCAGACAGUUUUUGAUACUAUCCAAAGGCCUUCAGAAGCUGCAUCUUCGGGGAGAGUCUUGGGAUCUGUGGAUGUAGCAUGACUCCAGUGAGCCCAGGCAUGCUGAGGUCUAGCUAGGAUGAGGGAGGAAAGCCUAUCUCCCCCCCUCCCCGGGGACAACAGUGAUAAAAGGAGCCAGUGGCCUCUCAGGAACUGAGCCUGAGAACAGGUGAACAAGGAACAGAGAGGGUUAAGGUGCCUCUUAACCCUUAUCCAGUCUUCUAUCCGACACUGGGAGGGCUGGGAGGGUGGCGGGGAGGAGGGGCAACAGGUGUGGUCCCCAGGCUCAGUCCUGUUUGGCCUCCACAACUGGUCAUCAGCAGUGAGCCCCGAAGGACACGGUGUUUAGACAUUCUGUCUGACCCAGUCCAGACCAAGCCAGAACAACGAAUCAAGAAUAAAUAGCACUUGGACUCUAUGUUCUUCGGGAAGUCACAAGUCCAUCCUAAUUCUUACCUCCCAUAUUAUACACACGCACACAUGUUAUGUAGGACUUCAUCUUCCUCCCCAGCUCCCCCCUACUCGCCACACCCUUUUCUCCUUUACACUUUAUCUGUAUGCGUGAAUGCAGGUACACACACUCACAUAUGCACACAAACCGUCAAUCUUUUAUUAGUGUAACAUUUAGACUCAAGGUUUUCAGUGAACAUUUUCUACAUAUUACCAACUAUCUAAUAUAUGUCUUAU
Molecule: long non-coding RNA, 3816 nt
Organism: Meriones unguiculatus (Mongolian gerbil)
Lineage: Eukaryota; Metazoa; Chordata; Mammalia; Rodentia; Muridae
Exons: 3
Source: RefSeq, a predicted model, not a curated record